RNAcentral lists this microRNA precursor (103 nucleotides) under Marmota monax (woodchuck). The record is from RNAcentral. Lineage: Eukaryota; Metazoa; Chordata; Mammalia; Rodentia; Sciuridae.
AGAGGAAAUGCUGGGUCAUAUAGCAAUUCUAUGUUUAACUUUUUGAAGAACUGCCAAACUGUUUUCCAAAGUAGCUACACUAUUUUACAUUAUCAUCAGCAAU